UACGGGGGGGGCAAGCGUUGUUCGGAAUUACUGGGCGUAAAGGGCUUGUAGGUGGCCAACUAAGUCAGACGUGAAAUCCCCCGGCUUAACCGGGGAACUGCGUCUGAUACUGGAUGGCUAGAGAUUGGGAGAGGGACGCGGAAUUCCAGGUGUAGCGGUGAAAUGCGUAGAUAUCUGGAGGAACACCGGUGGCGAAGGCGGCAUCCUGGACCAAUUCUGACGCUGAGGAGCGAAAGCUAGGGGAGCAAACGGG
This 253-nucleotide ribosomal RNA is filed under the name uncultured bacterium. RNAcentral's name for it is "partial 16S ribosomal RNA". It matches the Rfam family "Bacterial small subunit ribosomal RNA", at positions 524 to 776 of the family's 1533-position model. The record is from RNAcentral.